CCCCAAAAUUGUCUGUGCUUCCAUUAAGAGAAUUUAUUUUUCAUAAUUUCAAUUUGCGCAAUUCUGCAGCCACUGCCAUUACGGUAAAAGCGGGAAGUUGGACUGUUGCUCUGGUUUUAAAGCCGUCGGGUUGUUUCCAACCAAACUAAGCAGAAAUCCAUUUAGAAGAAGAUUUGCUCUGAUUCUGUCUGUUGCUGAUUGAUUAUGAAUAAAUUAUCAAGAUUACCCGGAAACAAACCACUAAACAACCCGUUAGCUAAAUUUAAGCUAAUGUUAAUGCUAACUAGCCUCCAGGCGGGUUAGCUAAAUUUAAGCUAAUGUUAAUGCUAACUAGCCUCCAGGUGGGUUAGCUAAAUUUAAGCUAAUGCUAACUAGCCUCCAGGCGGGUUCGGAGCUCUGACUGAGGUCAGCGGGUUAGUGGCAGCUGAGCCCGUCCAGAUUCUGUCCGAAUUCCUUUAACGUGACAUAAUGCUGAACUCUGGACUCAAAAGAAGCUUCAUCUGGAUCUCCAAUCCUGCCAAACGACUGAGAGCAGCGGUGAAGUAGCACUUGAGGACCUCGACCACACACCCUGCCCUCUGUCGGGAAACCUCCAAAAGCCGCUUUUCUUGCGCCUCUUCCACCAUUUUCAGGUUUUUUCCCCCCCUAAUCUCCUGAUCAAAUGUGCCAAACGCUCCCCAAAGGAUCCAAAAGGAUGAAAAUCAGCGAAGAGAAUGGCGUCAUUAGGAGGCCUUUGGUUUGCAGAGGAGCCGCAUUGUUUGAGCUGCUGAACGUUUGAGAAGAUGAACGGAAUUCCAGCGACGAGACAUGAGCUUCAAGUGCUGUUAUAAAAGAUUAAUGCAAAGUCGGCCGGCCCUCCUGGCUGGGAGCUGCGGCCGACUGACCAGUGCCAUAUGGACUCCUUUAUGCACGCACGCUGACCAGGACACACACUGGUGGCUCCAGGACAGCACUCUUUAACCCGUUUAACACGCUGCGACAAAAGAUGUGCACCGUCCUUCCUCCUUCCUUCCUCCUCCUCCUCCCUCUCUGCCCAGCUGAAUACCCACUAAUGCUCUGUGUGGCAUCUCAACACUCACACCGACCCUGGAAACAGAAACCAGGAGCUGCAGGACGAGGGACCGGGACAGAGCGUCGAAACGUCCUGAUUGUCCUAAAAGAGACCAAACAAAAUGAAGGCAACAAAAUCCAACUGAUUUAACCACACUGCAAAAACACACAGCUUUACCAAGUAGCACCAGAUUGUGGCUGUGGUAACAAAACAAUCGAACUUGCGGUUGCUGACCAGCAUCAUACCUGCUGGGAAAGGCCAUGGUAACUGGAGGAGCUGCAGAGAUUCACAACUCAGACUUUUGUUCCUCCGUUGGGGAUUUGAACCCCAGACGCCUCCCAUCCUAAUCUCCGUCCGGUUGGUGUCUCUGACUCACUGUUUCUCUGAAGAUUAUCACCUCACAUUAAAUGUUUUGCAUCUA
Xiphophorus couchianus (Monterrey platyfish) is the source of this 1472-nucleotide long non-coding RNA. RefSeq lists it as uncharacterized. The transcript is spliced from 6 exons. NCBI's taxonomy places the organism in Eukaryota, Metazoa, Chordata, Actinopteri, Cyprinodontiformes, Poeciliidae. The record is from RefSeq and is a predicted model, not a curated record.